Molecule: ribosomal RNA, 409 nt
Filed under: bacterium
Lineage: Bacteria
Description: partial 16S ribosomal RNA
Rfam family: Bacterial small subunit ribosomal RNA
Source: RNAcentral
UGGGGAAUAUUGCACAAUGGGCGAAAGCCUGAUGCAGCGACGCCGCGUGAGGGAUGGCGGCCUUCGGGUUGUAAACCUCUUUCAGCAGGGACGAAGCGCAAGUGACGGUACCUGCAGAAGAAGCACCGGCUAACUACGUGCCAGCAGCCGCGGUAAUACGUAGGGUGCAAGCGUUGUCCGGAAUUACUGGGCGUAAAGAGUUCGUAGGCGGUUUGUCGCGUCGUUUGUGAAAACCAGCAGCUCAACUGCUGGCUUGCAGGCGAUACGGGCAGACUUGAGUACUGCAGGGGAGACUGGAAUUCCUGGUGUAGCGGUGAAAUGCGCAGAUAUCAGGAGGAACACCGGUGGCGAAGGCGGGUCUCUGGGCAGUAACUGACGCUGAGGAACGAAAGCGUGGGUAGCGAACAGG